UGCAAGAUCGUGCAUUUGUGCGUGUGUGUGCGUUUGUUUGUGUGCUUGUGAGGAAGUUAUAGUUUAAUGUUGGUUAGCUUCAAUUGUCGAGCAACAGAGAAAAAAGAAAUAAAUAUAUAAAACAGCCGCAGCAGCAGCAACAACAACAAAGUGAUGCUGAUUGAUGUCACACACACCACGAAGGAAAAAAAAAAAAAAAUAAAUAAAUUAUCACCUUGAAGGGGUUUAUCAAUUUCGCCAGCACAUAAAGAUGUUAUCUUGGAAAACCGUUUAGAGGUGGACCUUUGAGGUUGACAGUACUGCAGGUGAGUUUUGGACACAUCAAAUUAUUAGCAGAGCGUUUUCCAAAAAGCUACAAAAUCAACAAAAUGCCUUGCCCUAGCCAUUCAUAAUUUAUGCAUAUGCACCCUGCAUUUUCCGCCAUCGAAAAAUGUUUCGAAUUUUCCAAGAGCGGAGCCUGCGAUGAUAAGAUAAACUUGCUGCACACUCCUCGCCGCCUUUUGUUGUGCGUGUGUAUUGUACUUGGGUCAUUGUUGUAAUGCCAUAACAAUCAAGUGAAAUUACGCUAAAUGACACGCUCAUUACGGCCCUUCGUUUUUGGGGUGGC
Molecule: long non-coding RNA, 607 nt
Organism: Drosophila sechellia
Lineage: Eukaryota; Metazoa; Arthropoda; Insecta; Diptera; Drosophilidae
Exons: 3
Source: RefSeq, a predicted model, not a curated record